CUGCCUCCUGGACUGGGUGCGGUAAUUGUACAUUUUUUCAUCCUACAUCUCAAGAGACCAAGGGACCUAAGUAAAUUGAUCUACUUGCCAAUGACUGUAAGAAAGACAAAGAAGUUGUAAAAACAUCCAAAUGAUGUUAAACAUAAAUUAGCUCAGAAUAGUUUGCAGAAGAUAAACUACCAGCGUCAAAGCAUGCAUUAAAAACUGGAAAGAAAUUAAAAGUGUGGUAUUGAAAGAUGUACAACUGACUUUGGAAAAAGGAUUCCUCUCUAAUUGGUGUUUGUAAGUGAUCGAAAUAAACAUUUUUAAACUAUCAU
Homo sapiens (human) is the source of this 317-nucleotide long non-coding RNA. NCBI's taxonomy places the organism in Eukaryota, Metazoa, Chordata, Mammalia, Primates, Hominidae. The record is from Ensembl.